This 448-nucleotide ribosomal RNA is filed under the name uncultured bacterium. Its description in RNAcentral is "bacterial SSU rRNA". It matches the Rfam family "Bacterial small subunit ribosomal RNA", at positions 328 to 793 of the family's 1533-position model. The record is from RNAcentral.
CUGCCAGACUCCUACGGGAGGCAGCAGUGGGGAAUAUUGCACAAUGGGGGAAACCCUGAUGCAGCGACGCCGCGUGAGUGAAGAAGUAUUUCGGUAUGUAAAGCUCUAUCAGCAGGGAAGAUAAUGACGGUACCUGAGUAAGAAGCCCCGGCUAACUACGUGCCAGCAGCCGCGGUAAUACGUAGGGGGCAAGCGUUAUCCGGAUUUACUGGGUGUAAAGGGAGCGUAGACGGUUGUGCAAGUCUGGAGUGAAAGGCGGGGGCCCAACCUCCGGACUGCUUUGGAAACUGUGCAGCUGGAGUGCAGGAGAGGUAAGCGGAAUUCCUAGUGUAGCGGUGAAAUGCGUAGAUAUUAGGAGGAACACCAGUGGCGAAGGCGGCUUACUGGACUGUAACUGACGUUGAGGCUCGAAAGCGUGGGGAGCAAACAGGAUUAGAUACCCGCGUAU